This is an RNA transcript of Solanum verrucosum, 1464 nucleotides long. It is a transcript of the gene named phosphatase IMPL1, chloroplastic, with no coding region annotated. NCBI's taxonomy places the organism in Eukaryota, Viridiplantae, Streptophyta, Magnoliopsida, Solanales, Solanaceae. The transcript is spliced from 11 exons. The record is from RefSeq and is a predicted model, not a curated record.
AAAAAUCCAAGAAAACUCUUGAGCACAAAUAAGCACUACACAGUGUGUGUGAAAAUGGGGAGAUGUCUUCUUUCAUCCACAAUUUCUUCUUUGAGAAUUUGUCAGUUACCCAGAAUUCGUCUUCCUGCAUUUCCCAAGAGUUGUAGCACAAACUCACAAUAUGGGUUUUGUACAAGUUUGUCCACUAGUGGGGGAUUUUGCACCAAGGCUGCUUUAUCGGAGGUGGGUAUCAAGAAAGAGUACUCAAAGAUUGCUGCUGAUUCAACCGGAAGUAUCCCCUCCAGUGAGCUACUCCAAGUGGUUGAAGCUGCAGCCACGACUGGUGCUCAGGUUGUAAUGGAUGCUGUGAAUAAGCCCCGAAAUGUUACCUAUAAAGGGCUCACUGACCUAGUGACCGACACAGAUAAAAAUAGUGAAGUUGCUAUCCUUGAAGUCGUGAGGAAGAAUUUUCCAGAUCAUCUAAUUCUCGGGGAGGAAGGAGGAAUUAUUGGGGACUCGUCAUCUGAUUAUCUUUGGUGCAUCGAUCCUUUAGAUGGAACAACAAACUUUGCGCAUGGCUAUCCCAGCUUUGCAGUCUCUGUGGGUGUUCUUUUUAGAGGGAAGCCAGCUGCAGCUGCUGUGGUUGAGUUUGUUGGUGGCCCUAUGUGUUGGAAUACUCGAAUAUUUUCUGCAGCUGCAGGCAAAGGAGCCUUUGCUAAUGGUGAAAAGAUUCAUGUCAGUCGAACUGACAAGGUGGAACAAUCUCUUCUAGUGACUGGAUUUGGAUAUGAGCAUGAUGAUCCAUGGGCAACCAAUAUGGAAUUGUUCAAAGAAUUUACUGAUGUCAGCAGGGGUGUAAGAAGGCUUGGUGCUGCUGCAGUGGAUAUGUGUCAUGUUGCUUUGGGGAUUGCUGAAGCAUAUUGGGAAUAUCGUCUAAAGCCAUGGGACAUGGCUGCAGGAGUUCUGAUAGUUGAAGAGGCUGGAGGGACAGUUUCGUGUAUGGAUGGAGGAAGUUUUUCAGUAUUUGAUAGAUCUGUCUUGGUAUCCAAUGGUUUGCUCCAUGCAAAGCUCCUUGAGAAAAUUGGUCCAGCAACGGAAAAUUUGAAGAGCAAAGGGAUUGAUUUCUCAGUGUGGUUCAAGCCAGAAAAUUACCAUACAGAAGUUUGAUAUGUCCCUGCGUUUUGUUCUUUAGAUGUGCUGCUUGAAAGAUUCUUCUACAAUCAGAUUUUGAUUAGAAUCAGAUGCUUGUCCUGAGAUCCUGAUAGAAGAAGUCUUAUCAUACGGCAAGCUGCUGCUGCUGAGGAAUAUGGUGAUUUUAUUUAGUUAUGUCCAGAUCAGUCCUUAUCAAAUAUAUAUAUAUAUAUAUUCUCCCAUUUGCUAUUCAUAUUUCCAUAUUCCUUCUCAUCUUACAGAUUUCCUUGAGAUCAUAGCAUCAUAACCAAUGCAUGUUUUUUUCAUACUAAGUUAAAUAUUAUUUCAUAUUAA